Molecule: non-coding RNA, 122 nt
Filed under: unclassified sequences
Description: RT-16 RNA
Rfam family: RT-16 RNA
About the family: candidate division DUSEL4 (Archaea). Nearby to self-splicing intron genes
Source: Rfam by way of RNAcentral
UUAGGAGUAACUUUUGGACUACAUGCAGUUUCAUUAGUGCAUUUUUAUUUGAUUUAAGCCAUAAAAUACAGAAGCGACUUGCGAGAAGCUUUGGUGACUGAAAGAUGAAAUUACUACAUACU